GCGAAUAUGGCAGAAUGGAUAUGCAACCAUAUGUACUGUGUUUGUUGCUCAAGUAUAUGCUACUGUGGUCGAUAUGGGUUCGAAUCCCAUUAUUCGCU
This is a non-coding RNA of Crucibulum laeve, 98 nucleotides long. NCBI's taxonomy places the organism in Eukaryota, Fungi, Basidiomycota, Agaricomycetes, Agaricales, Nidulariaceae. The record is from the annotation of a GenBank genome assembly.